AGUGAACGCUGGCGGUAGGCCUAACACAUGCAAGUCGAACGGCAGCACAGUAAGAGCUUGCUCUUACGGGUGGCGAGUGGCGGACGGGUGAGGAAUACAUCGGAAUCUACUUUUUCGUGGGGGAUAACGUAGGGAAACUUACGCUAAUACCGCAUACGACCUACGGGUGAAAGCAGGGGAUCUUCGGACCUUGCGCGAUUGAAUGAGCCGAUGUCGGAUUAGCUAGUUGGCGGGGUAAAGGCCCACCAAGGCAACGAUCCGUAGCUGGCCUGAGAGGAUGAUCAGCCACACUGGAACUGAGACACGGUCCAGACUCCUACGGGAGGCAGCAGUAGGGAAUCUUGGACAAUGGGCGAAAGCCUGACGCAGCAAUACCGCGUGGGUGAAGAAGGCCUUCGGGUUGUAAAGCCCUGCUGUUGGGAAAGAAAAGCAGUAGGUUAAUCCCUGGCUGUUCUGACGGUACCUAAAGAAUAAGCACCGGCUAACUUCGUG
Molecule: ribosomal RNA, 492 nt
Filed under: uncultured bacterium
Lineage: Bacteria
Description: partial 16S ribosomal RNA
Rfam family: Bacterial small subunit ribosomal RNA
Source: RNAcentral